CGUAUGUUAUAUAUACUCCCACAAACCUCAAAAUUCAUGCCGUGUAAAUUGACUACUAUAAUAAACUCUUGCCCUCUCGCACCUCUGCCGUCAUCAAGGACAUCUCUUAAUUUCCUCCAUCUCCUGACGGGGAUUACUAGGUGGUUCUUCCGAAUUAAGAUUCCGUACCUUGAGAAAUCAGGCGCGUUAAAGGUUGGUAAAGGUACUUAGCUACGAGUGAGGAGACGCUUAGAAUAACCACCUAGUCAAGAGACAAUUUCUUUUCCAGUUUAAGUUGGAUUUUGUUAUUUAUUUUAUGGGGAUUAAUUGGUUGUAAUAUUUUAUUGACCACCUUUAGACCACUUAGUUAAUUUUGACUUUAAUGGUUUUAAAUAGUUUUGUUGCUUUCCAUUUAUUUUCUAUGGAGAAUAAAUGUAGCAGUAACACUCCCAAGGUUUGGACGAUUGUUUUAUGAUAUAAAAACAUGAUUUUUGAUUAUAUAAAAGGUCCAAAUUUUGGGGUGUUACAAAUUGGUAUCAGAGCUUAGGUUUCGGAUCUAUUGAUGCCAGUGUCGAGUUUUAAAUUAGGACUAAAUGGAAUAAUUAAGA
Spinacia oleracea (spinach) is the source of this 587-nucleotide long non-coding RNA. RefSeq lists it as uncharacterized. NCBI's taxonomy places the organism in Eukaryota, Viridiplantae, Streptophyta, Magnoliopsida, Caryophyllales, Amaranthaceae. The transcript has 3 exons. The record is from RefSeq and is a predicted model, not a curated record.